AACAGGAUUAGAUACCCUGGUAGUCCACGCCGUAAACGAUGUCGACUUGGAGGUUGUGCCCUUGAGGCGUGGCUUCCGGAGCUAACGCGUUAAGUCGACCGCCUGGGGAGUACGGCCGCAAGGUUAAAACUCAAAUGAAUUGACGGGGGCCCGCACAAGCGGUGGAGCAUGUGGUUUAAUUCGAUGCAACGCGAAGAACCUUACCUACUCUUGACAUCCAGAGAACUUAGCAGAGAUGCUUUGGUGCCUUCGGGAACUCUGAGACAGGUGCUGCAUGGCUGUCGUCAGCUCGUGUUGUGAAAUGUUGGGUUAAGUCCCGCAACGAGCGCAACCCUUAUCCUUUGUUGCCAGCGGUUAGGCCGGGAACUCAAAGGAGACUGCCAGUGAUAAGCUGGAGGAAGGUGGGGAUGACGUCAAGUCAUCAUGGCCCUUACGAGUAGGGCUACACACGUGCUACAAUGGCAUAUACAAAGAGAAGCGACCUCGCGAGAGCAAGCGGACCUCAUAAAGUAUGUCGUAGUCCGGAUUGGAGUCUGCAACUCGACUCCAUGAAGUCGGAAUCGCUAGUAAUCGUGGAUCAGAAUGCCACGGUGAAUACGUUCCCGGGCCUUGUACACACCGCCCGUCACACCAUGGGAGUGGGUUGCAAAAGAAGUAGGUAGCUUAACCUUCGGGAGGGCGCUUACCACUUUGUGAUUCAUGACUGGGGUGAAGUCGUAACAAGGUAACC
RNAcentral lists this ribosomal RNA (730 nucleotides) under uncultured bacterium. RNAcentral describes it as "bacterial SSU rRNA". It matches the Rfam family "Bacterial small subunit ribosomal RNA", at positions 771 to 1501 of the family's 1533-position model. The record is from RNAcentral.